Molecule: long non-coding RNA, 4197 nt
Organism: Humulus lupulus (European hop)
Lineage: Eukaryota; Viridiplantae; Streptophyta; Magnoliopsida; Rosales; Cannabaceae
Exons: 2
Source: RefSeq, a predicted model, not a curated record
UAACAACAGGUCUUCACACUUAAUUAUAUUUUAUCUAAUUUACUUUGGAGUUUUAUCUAAAAUCUUGGGUUGUGGAUAGAAGUUUUUAUUAACGUUUAGAUCUGGUGGGAAUGUUUAAUUGGGCCUAAUUUCAGAUUAUUUUUUUGGUCUAAUGUUUUUUAUUAUUCAUUUUAAUCCUUAUUGGAAGCACACAAGGAUUGUGGAGUUUAAGCUCACAUGUAAGAGUGUUCUUUCUUCAAAUUGUUUUUGGUUGAUAAAUUUGUAAUUUUGAUCUCUCUUUGGUAAUUUGUUAUUCUUUUUUUGCUUUAACAUGUUAAAGUUUUAAUUUUGUUUCCUACUUACUAAUGCCUCUUAAAAAGAAAUUAUUUGGUGAGAAGAAUUGUUUGUUUUAUUUUUCCAUUAUCAUUAUAUUUAGUUUCUCAGCCCCAAGUUUUUAUCUUUCUGUUUUCAUUUUGUGUUUUAGAACUACCACAAAAAACAUUGUCUUUUAUUAAGUUUGAAUUAUUUUUGUUUUAUUCCUAGGGCAGGACCGUUUUGGAAAGAUGAUUUAAUGAUUUUUUUGUACCAGACUAGCUCCAAAUAAAUUAUUUAGAUGUGAGAGAUGAUAUGAUAUUUCAUUGUCAUUUGGACUUAAAAGCUUCUGUUUUUUGCACUAGUUUGUUCAAUAGUAUAUUUCUCAAUUAACCAGAUUCGUUGUUUGUAGCUAUUUGUAAACUGGAAUACAAACUAUUUUUGGUUUUUUGUUCUUUCUAUGUGUGUUGUGUCUGCUGUUCUUUUUAUUGUUGGUUUUAUCUCAAAUUUUUGCAUUAUUCUUGGCCUUUUCUAUUAGUUUUUCUAGUUUUCCAGCUGCUUUUGCUACCCCUUGUCGUUGUAUUUAAGAGUUUGUUGUUAUUUUUCUUUUGUGAGCUAUAGUUUCCAAGGACUCUGUAGUGGGUUUGGAUAGUUUCUUGGUUGUAUGAGUUGUAAUUUUCUUUUUAAUUAUGACUCCUAAUUAAAGGUCCAAUGAUGUUGAUAGUUUAUUAAUUGGUAUGUAAUUUUGCUUUCAUUUUAGUGGCUUCAUUGGAUUUCAAAUUAGAAGGAAACUUUAUUUAAAAUAGUUUGCAAGAGGUAUGUUAUUUUUUAGUUUUGUUAAAAUAUUUUGAAAAUGUUAGAGGAAUUUGAAUAUCUUAGAUAUUCAUCCAUAGUGAAGUAGGUCCUGAGAUUAUUAUUGUGUGUUGCGGUGAUAACGGAAGGUUGAGAACUUGUGUGUCUUAGUGAAGUAGGAUCUGAGAAAUUUGUGUGCUGCGGCGAGAUAAGGAAGAAAACUUGUGUUUUGUUUGAAUAUUUUAAAUUGAUAAUGGUAGAUGGUUGGUUAAUAAAUAUGGAUGUAAUGUUUUCCGAUUUUAUAUAGAACUGAGGCGUUUUCCUCAACUGAGGCGAAACACAUGUAUAGUAUUUUAGUCCUAAGUCGAGUCUUUUAAACCCUAAGAUUCAAGUCUUGCAUCACGACGUUUCACCAUGGUAGCACAAAUCUGUUAAAGCAUAAGAUAAUUAAAAAAAUUAAUAAAAAAAAGUAGUAUAAUAUGUAACUGUUAUGAAAAAAAAAUGUAAAUAGGAGAAACUUAAAAAAAAUGGCUAACAAAUAUUUAUAUGAGAUAUCAUAUGGAUAAGCCUUAAAGAUGUAUAUAUCUACAACACAUCUCUAGACAAAUUAUAUAUGAGGGUUAAAAAAAAGUAUAAUAUAAGACAUAAAAGUAGAUUAGCUAGCUAGCAAACAUAUUAUAUAUGUUUUAUAAAUAUCGUAUAUAUACACACUAAUAUAGGAAAGAAAACAUACAUAAAAAAUAAAAAUAUCUGUUGACCUAUGACUUUAAAAUGAAUACAUGACUGAGGUGUAUGCCUCAUGAGUUUUGAAAUGUAAAGGUACUGAGGCAUAAGUUUUGAAUAAAAUUUGAGAAAUGUGAGUUUCGAUACUUUUUCUUGGCGCCUUAGUACGAAACGAGUUUAAAAAAUUUUGAACAUUUUUUUAAACCAUGUUACAGAUGAAGCCAAGCAAGCAUGAUAUUGAGAAUUUGUGAAACCAAAUUCUACUUAUCAUAUAUAUAAACUCUUUCUUUCUGCUUGUUGAGUCCAUUAAAUAAAUAUAUUUUGUAUUUUUGUUUAAGUGUGUUAAAAUGGAAGUGAGCUACUCAUUGAUGUGUACUUUUUAGGUUUAUAUACAAUUCAAUUAUAUUUUGGUUGAUACAGUUAUGUAUUUACCAUUACAUAGUCUUAUCAAAAUUUUGCUUUUUGUUGGUUAGAACAGGACAAUUAAGUUGGUGAUCAUGUUGGAUAAAAAUUGGCUACGCUUCAAUAGGUAAUAAGAAUUAGGGAUUUAAUUAGUGUCAGCUUAGUAAAAUUAGUAACUUACUAUAUUUGUUACUAAUAUAUUAUAAAUAUGAACUUGUCUUUGAACUGUAGAGCCUCAGAUGAGUAUCAAGAAGGCGCUAAGAAUUUUGUAGAAAUGGCAGAAAAGCUGGCUGGCUAUCCAGAAAAGUUAUUAUGUCCAUGCAAAGUUUGUUGAAACUUAAGUCACUAAUGUAUUAGCAUUUUGUAUGAACACUUAGUCAUUUAUGGGAUUGAUCCAACAUACAAAAUCUGGUUUCAUCAUGGGGAAGAAUUAUCAAGAGAUGAUGGUAUAGAGACAAUGGGAACCUUUGAUUCUUACAACUUGUUUAGGGCUACAAAUAUUGAUGGUUAUGAUUUUGAAAGUCAUGUAGAAGGUCAUGAUGACACUUUUAUGGAAAAAAUAGAAGAUGCAGACACUCCAUUACAUCCACAAUGCACUAAAUAUACUAAGUUGUCGUCAAUUGUUGCAUUGUAUAAGCUUAAAGUUUUGUUAAGGAAAAAAAUAGUGCUGAGUUUAAGGUAUUUUAUUCUUAACAUCGUAUAACCAAAUAUAUUAAUGAUUGAAAUUUAUAGUUUAAUGUCUCUAUUAAGUUUAUAUUCUUAGGCUACAAGUGAGAAAUACAGAAAAAUACGGACAAAGCAACUACCCCACACUUGUAGUCGUAAAGGUUAUGCAAGAUUGAUUGAUGAAUUGGUAAAGCCAAAUAUAUUUACAGUUGUUUUUUGAUAGAUGAAACAUAGUGAAACCAAAACACCACCUUCUAGAGUUGAUGUUUGGAUCAAAGCACAUAAGAAGAAAAAUGGUGAACCAGUAAAUUCAGAAGUGGCUAAAGCUUUUGUAUACACCUUGCCCUUUCAAAAUCAUGUGACUUUAGUUUUAACUUGCUCAUUUGUUUGAAUACAUUUAUUGAUACUAUUUAUUUUUGAAGGAUUUGGUUGAAGAAUAUAAGAAAGAACGUGCUAUGUCUUUAACUACAAGUGUUAAUGAAGACAUCCUCACAAAAGUCCUUGGUCCUGAAAAAAAAUACAUACAUGAGAGCUUUUAGAAGAGGAGUUACUCGGUCAAAGUUGCAAAUUGUGUCAGAAAGAGAUGACCAUAUGAUAAUGACAGAGGGUCAAUGCAAAGAUUUGAAAGAUAAAAUGCAACACAUGGAGCAACUCAUUGUUUCUUUAAUGAAAAAUCAAAGUGUCAAGAACCACACAUUUGGCUCCAAAUGCAAAAUAUUAGAUUGGAUUGGAUCUGGAGAAAUUAUUGCAGAAGGCUAUUUUAUUUCAAGUGACCCAAAUGAUGAGGUUCACCAUGUUCCUCUUGGGUCUAGUGCUAUGAAAGUGGGGAUAGAUCUUGUGAGAAAGAAUGAUGCAUUUCUGUGGAGUCCUUCAACAGUUAUGUCUACUAUAGAAGAUGUUAUAGGUAGUAUAAUUGCAUGGCCAGCUGAUAAAGUCAUAAUUAAGUAAUUAACUUUUUUUAUUUACUCUUUUAGUUUACUAUUAACUUUAAGUUGAAGCAUUAAUUAUUUAAAUUUUGUUGUAGCUAAGCGAAUUGACUCACAACAAAGACAAGUGCACAAAGGAUGAUGAAUUGAAGGAUGGAGCAAGUUUCAUGCAUGGUUUACUUUUGUGUAUCUUGUAAUGUUUCUGUUUUUCAUUUUGGAAGUAAAAAAUGUCCAAGAUUAUAAAACUUGAGAAAAAAAAAUGUUUAUGUUUAAUUAUGUUAUGCUUUCAAACUUGAGUUAGAACUAAGAUCUCAUGAAGUAGACACAUUCAUGGUUUGAAUUAAUUAUUGUUUAAUGUAAUACUUAUGGUUUAUCAAUCUAUUGAGAAUUACAUUUU